UAUCUUCUGUCCAAUUAACAACUGUUUUUCUUCCUCUCUGACCACUCUGUCAACUCAGAAAGGGAAAGCUCAGUGCAAUUCUCUCAGUAUCCAAAGCUACUUCUAUGGGAUCAUAGACAUAUAUCAAAUGUAUUAUUGUAAAUUCAAGGGCUAUAUUUAAAACAAUAGCAUCUGAACCUGAUCCUAUAAAAAAUUCCACGGUGAGAGAAAACACUGGAAGUAUGAUAUUGACCCUGAGAUAUAGUAACAUAUGAAUAAUUUUGUGGCUUAUGUGAAUAUUGAGACAAAAAAUUGAUUAUUCCUGGAUACACAGAAUGUGUAGUGCCUAUAUUUAUCAACUAUCAGGAUCUCUUUUCUAUAGCCAAAAAUGUCCACUCUAGACCUUUCCCCAAGUGGUAAAUGUGGGCAGUUCUUGGAAUGAGCAUGUUCAGGACAGCUCUGUGGAGAUGGGAGCCUAAGGCCAGCAGAGCACUUAGGUGUAUUGAAAACCCAGGCCUCCUGUGAUUUGGAUGGGUGGGAUUACUUGUAUGUGCAAUGGUUGAAAGCCAUGCUUCCCUUUAUCUCCUCCUGUCUCUGAUGGCACAUGAACAGCCUGGGUUCUCUUGGUUCCGAUUCAUUGCCUGCAAUUACAGAUGUGUACAUAUUAUGUGUUUCAACUCUGGGUCAUAUGCCAGAAAAUAGUACCUGAC
This 689-nucleotide long non-coding RNA is filed under the name Marmota monax (woodchuck). Lineage: Eukaryota; Metazoa; Chordata; Mammalia; Rodentia; Sciuridae. The record is from RNAcentral.